RNAcentral lists this unclassified non-coding RNA (320 nucleotides) under soil metagenome. RNAcentral's name for it is "partial contains 5.8S ribosomal RNA, internal transcribed spacer 2, and large subunit ribosomal RNA". The stretch from base 1 to 121 matches the Rfam family "5.8S ribosomal RNA", at positions 35 to 154 of the family's 154-position model. The record is from RNAcentral.
GAUGAAGAACGCAGCGAAACGCGAAAUGUAAUGUGAAUUGCAGAACCCCCGUGAAUCAUCGAAUCUUUGAACGCACCUUGCGCCCAGGGGUAUUCCUCUGGGCAUGCCUGUCUGAGUGUCGCGCACCUCUCGAUCCGCCCCAUGCGGACUCGGACCGUGGCGGUCUUGGCCGCUUGGCCCCGCCGAAAUGGACACCGGGAGUUAUGUCAAACCGGCGUUGUAGACCCCUCGCUGGCGUGAUGUCCCUCAUAUAAUUAUCCUUUCGACCUCAGAUCAAGCAGGACUACCCGCUGAACUUAAGCAUAUCAAUAAGCGGAGGA